GUUAUACCCUAAAUUCUUUUUUUUAUCUCGUCCUACUGCCAUCGCCUCUUCCACAAACAAAACCACAAAACCUACUCUCACUCUCUCUCCUAAUAACCCGACGCCCAAAACAGAGCAAAUCACUUCUCCCACUACCGGCGCUGCCUCCCACUCCGCCUUCACCACCGCGACGGCCGCUUCCUAUCUUCCCCUUCUCGCGCCUUGAUGAAGGGUUUGUAGCAAAUCAACUUCGUCCGAUUCUUGUCACCUCUUUCUUCUUCCUCCGGUUUGAAUCUCCCCUCAAAAUCGACUGCAAUGUGGCAUUCAAGAGAGUUAUUAUCGAAGAUUUGACAGUAGUGCUGUCCGAUUGGGACCUAUCGAUCCAGAGCCUUGUGGAUGAUCAAGCAUUGGUUGUUCGGUAAAUGGAGAUUAUGUUGUAAAGAUGAACAUUUCUAGGGAGUCUUUGAGGGUUUUAUCGCGCCGGAGCUAAGUUGUCUCUCAAAUUUGCAAGAAGAUAUUUCUAUGUAGGUUCAUAAUUUUGUUAGCUUUGAUUGUGGCUGGCAAUGAUCCAUCUACAAUCAAUUCAACCACUUCCAAAGCAAAUAGAGCAUUUAGAUUCCUUGACAGAAAAAUUCAGUGUCCCAAGUUCAAAAAGGGCAAGGUUGCAAGUGUGGAUGAAAGAGAGGAGAUAUCAAGAAUUUUCUUAGAGAUAAUCAACCAGAAAUUCAAGGGCUAGGGUGUUGGGUGUCAGUUGAAAGAGGCGUGACGACAAGCCCCAUAGGCAAGUGUUUUCAAUCAUUUAAUUUUAUUUAUGGAUUUUAUGCACAUUUAGUUAUGUUCUUUGAGAUUUUUUUCUUCAAUGGAGUUGCAUUCUUUUCGGCUUCCAUUUCUUCUAUUGACAAAUUUUAUUGCUCCUUGUUUUUAAGAUUUUGAAUUCAAUCACUUGAUGUGAGAUCAUGAGUUGGUUUCAUUGUCCUGCUCUGGAUUUGUUUGGAAUAUUCAUUUAAGAGGAUUUGUGAUCAAUUGGGUAUUAAAAUUGGCUGGAGAUUGAUAAUUGUCUGCAGUUUUCCUUGUGUUCUGAUUUUUGAAUUUUAGAUGUUUUCUUGUCGGAUGUUCCGGUGAAAUAAUGCUUUAUUGUUCUAGCUACAUAAUACUACUGCAAGUUCUAUCGGAUUUGUUCAUUUUUAGUGGCAGAUCAAUCCAUGUUAAUAAUAAUAAUAAUAAUAAUAAUAAUAAUGCUUCAUCCAUUCACGAAACCUUCUUUCACCUAGUUUGAUUCAUUCUCGUCUCGAUGGCAACCAUUUUAUUCUAUACCUCU
Molecule: long non-coding RNA, 1297 nt
Organism: Andrographis paniculata
Lineage: Eukaryota; Viridiplantae; Streptophyta; Magnoliopsida; Lamiales; Acanthaceae
Exons: 5
Source: RefSeq, a predicted model, not a curated record